Molecule: ribosomal RNA, 253 nt
Filed under: uncultured bacterium
Lineage: Bacteria
Description: partial 16S ribosomal RNA
Rfam family: Bacterial small subunit ribosomal RNA
Source: RNAcentral
UACGGGGGGGGCAAGCGUUGUUCGGAAUUACUGGGCGUAAAGGGCGCGUAGGCGGCCUGCUAAGUCGGAUGUGAAAUCCCUCGGCUCAACCGAGGAACUGCAUCCGAUACUGGCGGGCUUGAAUCCGGGAGAGGGAUGUGGAAUUCCAGGUGUAGCGGUGAAAUGCGUAGAUAUCUGGAGGAACACCGAUGGCGAAGGCAGCUCACUGGGACGGUACUGACGCUGAGACGCGAAAGCGUGGGGAGCAAACAGG